CUGUCUUGUUAUUGUGUCUCAUCUUAUUCUUAGAUCUGACAUCAAUCUAGAUCUAUGGUUGCCAAAGUAUUUUGCAUAUUAUUCAAAACGUAUUGUUCAUUUAUAUUUCCUUUGCAACUUCUUGCCUGCACAUAUCAACUGAUGUCAUAAGCGCCAGACUACUUUUCUUAGUUACACUUCAUUUUGCGUGGGUUACUAUUGAGCUUAACUGUACUACUGUAAUUGCUGUUGAAGGAAUAGCGUCAACUCAUGUUGAUAACAUCACAGUGGCUUACAGGUUCAUCAAAUUGGAUGUUUAUUCUUCAGAUUGGUUUGUCAUCAUGCUGCACUUAUCACACAAACUUUGCUAUGGAGGAGACAGUGUUAUUGACAGACCCAGACAUCUAGGUAGCCUAUUAUAGAUUCUGCUUCUCUGAGCCCUAUGAAUUCAGUCUUUCUGUUAUAACAUCUUUCAUAGGCUAAAAGCAAUUAUUUUUUUUUAUUGUUUUACUUCUUUCAGUCAUGUGACUGCGGCCAUGCUGGAGCA
Long non-coding RNA from Octopus sinensis (East Asian common octopus), 526 nucleotides. RefSeq lists it as uncharacterized. The record is from RefSeq and is a predicted model, not a curated record. The transcript is spliced from 3 exons. NCBI's taxonomy places the organism in Eukaryota, Metazoa, Mollusca, Cephalopoda, Octopoda, Octopodidae.